This 753-nucleotide ribosomal RNA is filed under the name uncultured Glomus. RNAcentral's name for it is "SSU rRNA". It matches the Rfam family "Eukaryotic small subunit ribosomal RNA", at positions 338 to 1092 of the family's 1831-position model. The record is from RNAcentral. Lineage: Eukaryota; Fungi; Glomeromycota; Glomeromycetes; Glomerales; Glomeraceae.
GGCCUACCAUGGUGGUAACGGGUAACGGGGUGUUAGGGCACGACACCGGAGAGGGAGCCUGAGAAACGGCUACCACAUCCAAGGAUGGCAGCAGGCGCGCAAAUUACCCAAUCCCGACACGGGGAGGUAGUGACAAUAAAUAACAAUACGGGGUUCUUUCGGAUUUCGUAAUUGGAAUGAGUACAAUUUAAAUCUCUUAACGAGGAACAAUUGGAGGGCAAGUCUGGUACCAGCAGCCGCGGUAAUUCCAGCUCCAAUAGCGUAUAUUAAAGUUGUUGCAGUUAAAAAGCUCGUAGUUGAAUUUCGGGGUUAGUAGGUUGGUCAUGCCUCUGGUAUGUACUGGUCUCACUGAUUCCUCCUUCCUGAAGAGCCGUAAUGCCAUUAAUUUGGUGUUGCGAGGAAUCUGGACUGUUACUUUGAAAAAAUUAGAGUGUUUAAAGCAGGCUAACGCUUGAAUACAUUAGCAUGGAAUAAUGAAAUAGGACGUUCGAUCCUAUUUUGUUGGUUUCUAGGAUUGACGUAAUGAUUAAUAGGGAUAGUUGGGGGCAUUAGUAUUCAAUUGUCAGAGGUGAAAUUCUUGGAUUUAUUGAAGACUAACUACUGCGAAAGCAUUUGCCAAGGAUGUUUUCAUUAAUCAAGAACGAAAGUUAGGGGAUCGAAGACGAUCAGAUACCGUCGUAGUCUUAACCAUAAACUAUGCCGACUAGGGAUCGGAUGAUGUUAAUUUUUUAAUGACUCAUUCGGCGCCUUACG